GCCGGAAUUGCUAGUAAUGGCAGGUCAGCAUACUGCCGUGAAUACGUUCCCGGGCCUUGUACACACCGCCCGUCACACCAUGAGAGUUGGAGAUACCCGAAGCCUGUGAGCUAACAAACGAGGCAGCAGUCGAAGGUAGAAUCAAUGAUUGGGUGAAGUCGUAACAAGGUAUC
This 173-nucleotide ribosomal RNA is filed under the name uncultured bacterium. RNAcentral's name for it is "partial 16S ribosomal RNA". It matches the Rfam family "Bacterial small subunit ribosomal RNA", at positions 1325 to 1500 of the family's 1533-position model. The record is from RNAcentral.